This 649-nucleotide long non-coding RNA is filed under the name Citrus x clementina. RNAcentral describes it as "Citrus clementina (C. clementina) long non-coding RNA (CCLE_LNC004808)". Lineage: Eukaryota; Viridiplantae; Streptophyta; Magnoliopsida; Sapindales; Rutaceae. The record is from RNAcentral.
GGCUAUAGCCCACCUGUUUUUGUGGCCUUUUUCCGUUGGACGAACUUGGCGCCCCGGCCUUCGGGCAGUUAUUUUUGGGCGCGGGUUUGCCCGCGGCUUAUUUUUGGCACACAGAGGCCCCACGCAAAGUCUCGCGGCAUUCCGAGUCCGGCGGACGAAGUUGGUCAGCCCCAGCCCCCAAGGCUAUAGCCCACCCGUUUUUGUGGCCUUUUUCCGCUGGACGAACUUGGCGACCCGGCCUUCGGGCGGUUAUUUUUGGGCACGGCUUUGCCCGCAGCCUAUUUUUGGUACACGGAGGACCCUCGCAAAGUCUCGAGGCAUUCCGAAUCCGGCAGACGAAGUGGGCCAGCCCCACCCCCCGAGGGUGUAGCCCACCCGUUUUUGUGGCCUUUUUCCGCUGGACGAACUUGGCGCCCCGGCCUUCGGGCUGUUAUUUUUGGGCGCGGCUUUGCCAGCGGCCUAUUUUUGGCACACGGAGGUCCCUCGCAAAGUCUCACGGCAUUCCGAGUCCGGCGGACGAAGUGGGCCAGCCCCACCCCCCAAGGCUAUAGCCCACCCGUUUUUGUGGCCUUUUUCCGCUGGGCGAACUUGGCGCCCCGGCCUUCGGGCGGGUAUUUUUGGGUGCGGCUUUGCCCGGGGCCUAUUUUUG